This 542-nucleotide ribosomal RNA is filed under the name uncultured bacterium. Its description in RNAcentral is "bacterial SSU rRNA". It matches the Rfam family "Bacterial small subunit ribosomal RNA", at positions 358 to 916 of the family's 1533-position model. The record is from RNAcentral.
GGAAUAUUGGUCAAUGGGCGAAAGCCUGAACCAGCAACGCCGCGUGCGCGAUGAAGGCCUUCGGGUCGUAAAGCGCUUUUGGGAGGGAUGAAAAUGACAGUACCUCCCGAAUAAGGAUCGGCCAACUACGUGCCAGCAGCCGCGGUAAGACGUAGGAUCCAAGCGUUAUCCGGAAUUACUGGGCGUAAAGGGCGUGUAGGAGGUUGGGCAAGUCGGCCAUGAAAGCUCCCGGCUCAACUGGGAGAGGCUGGUCGAUACUGCCUGGCUAGAGGGCAAGAGAGGGAGGUGGAAUUCCCGGUGUAGUGGUGAAAUGCGUAGAUAUCGGGAGGAACACCAGUGGCGAAGGCGGCCUCCUGGCUUGUACCUGACUCUGAAACGCGAAAGCAUGGGUAGCAAACAGGAUUAGAAACCCUGGUAGUCCAUGCCAUAAACGAUGUCAACUGGGUGUCGGCGAAGUAAAAUUUGUCGGUGCCGAAGCUAACGCGUUAAGUUGACCGCCUGAGGACUACGAUCGCAAGAUUAAAACUCAAAGGAAUUGACGG